UUCCGGUUGAUCCCGCCGGAGGUUACUGCUAUCGGUGUUCGACUAAGCCAUGCAAGUCAUAUGUUCCUCGUGAACAUGGCAUACUGCUCAGUAACACGUGGAUAACCUGCCCUUGGGUCUGGGAUAACCCCGGGAAACUGGGGAUAAUAUCGGAUAACGCAUAUGUGCUGGAAUGCUUUAUGCGUAAAACGGAUUCGUCCGCCCAAGGAUGGGUCUGCGGCCUAUCAGGUAGUAGUGGGUGUAAUGUACCUACUAGCCAACAACGGGUACGGGUUGUGAGAGCAAGAGCCCGGAGAUGGAUUCUGAGACAUGAAUCCAGGCCCUACGGGGCGCAGCAGGCGCGAAAACUUUACAAUGCGGGAAACCGUGAUAAGGGAACACCGAGUGCCAGCAUCAUAUGCUGGCUGUCCAGAUGUGUAAACUACAUCUGUUAGCAAGGGCCGGGCAAGACCGGUGCCAGCCGCCGCGGUAACACCGGCGGCCCGAGUGGUGACCGUUAUUAUUGGGUCUAAAGGGUCCGUAGCCGGUUUGGUCAUUCCUCCGGGAAAUCUGAUAGCUUAACUGUUAGGCUUUC
Molecule: ribosomal RNA, 574 nt
Filed under: uncultured archaeon
Lineage: Archaea
Description: bacterial SSU rRNA
Rfam family: Archaeal small subunit ribosomal RNA
Source: RNAcentral